Molecule: ribosomal RNA, 462 nt
Filed under: Xanthomonas sp. FL111
Lineage: Bacteria; Pseudomonadati; Pseudomonadota; Gammaproteobacteria; Lysobacterales; Lysobacteraceae
Description: bacterial SSU rRNA
Rfam family: Bacterial small subunit ribosomal RNA
Source: RNAcentral
AGCGUUACUCGGAAUUACUGGGCGUAAAAGCGUGCGUAGGUGGUGAUUUAAGUCCGUUGUGAAAAGCCCUGGGCUCAACCUGGGAAUUGCAGUGGAUACUGGGUCCACUAGAAUGUGGUAGAGGGUAGCGGAAUUCCUUGGUGUAGCAGUGAAAUGCGUAGAGAUCAGGAGGAACAUCCGUGGCGAAGGCGGCUACCUGGACCAACAGACACUGAGGCACGAAAGCGUGGGGAGCAAACAGGAUUAGAUACCCUGGUAGUCCACGCCCUAAACGAUGCGAACUGGAUGUUGGGUGCAAUUUGGCACGCAGUAUCGAAGCUAACGCGUUAAGUUCGCCGCCUGGGGAGUACGGUCGCAAGACUGAAACUCAAAGGAAUUGACGGGGGCCCGCACAAGCGGUGGAGUAUGUGGUUUAAUUCGAUGCAACGCGAAGAACCUUACCUGGUCUUGACAGUCGAGAAC